This is a long non-coding RNA of Catharus ustulatus (Swainson's thrush), 731 nucleotides long. RefSeq lists it as uncharacterized. NCBI's taxonomy places the organism in Eukaryota, Metazoa, Chordata, Aves, Passeriformes, Turdidae. The record is from RefSeq and is a predicted model, not a curated record. The transcript is spliced from 3 exons.
CUUGUUUUUGCAGAGGAGCACAAAGGUGUCUUGUUGCUGAGAGCUGAAAAGAAUUCCUGUCAAUCAGUUCUGUGCUCAAGAUCAGCCAAAGGUUCCUUAUCCAAACUUGGAAGCUCAGCCUGCCUCGAACAUCUGUGAUUUCCUGAAAGGACAAUGCUUUUUCCAGAGGAAGAUAAAUCAAAGUUCCCAAACUUCUCUGGAGCACAGAACCACUGCUGGAAUCCUGUGGACCAUCUUUGUGGGACUUGUCACAUGCUGGGGAGUUAGCAGUCAUGUGAGGUCACACAGCAAGGAAGAAUCAUUGCAGCAGAAGAUACUGAUGGCAGACUACAACAUCCACCAUACAGCACUGGAUUGCUCAUAAACACUGUCUUUCCAUGCAGUUCUGCAGAUCUGCUCCAGAAAACUUAACAUAGCCUUCCAAACCAUCAGGGUAUUAGAGGUAAAGUAUUAAACACCACCAAACUUCUAUCCACUGCAUUUUGUAAGUAAUACCAUACAGUGGACCUGUAAAUGUGCUCUAUAUAAUACCUAGCAAUGAUAGUGAGAAUCAGGAUUCAGGAUACCUGAGCUUCAUUCCAAAUUUUGCCUCAGAUACCUGCACCAGUAAUUACUUAACUUACCUAUGCAUCAUUUGCUUUGGAAAAGCAGGCUGGGCUGCAUGGUGUCUUCAUCAUUCACCCAUUCCUCCCACAGUGACUGAAGAAGACUCUUUGUAUUUCCAGGGUCAU